GACGAACGCUGGCGGCGUGCUUAACACAUGCAAGUCGAACGGAAAGGCCCUGCUUGCAGGGUACUCGAGUGGCGAACGGGUGAGUAACACGUGGGUGAUCUGCCCUGCACUUCGGGAUAAGCCUGGGAAACUGGGUCUAAUACCGGAUAGGAGCCAUUUUUAGUGUGAUGGUUGGAAAGUUUUUUCGGUGUAGGAUGAGCUCGCGGCCUAUCAGCUUGUUGGUGGGGUAAUGGCCUACCAAGGCGGCGACGGGUAGCCGGCCUGAGAGGGUGGACGGCCACAUUGGGACCGAGAUGCGGCCCAGACGCCGACGGGAGGAAGAAGUGGGGAAGAUUGAACAAGCGGCGCAAGCCUGAUGCAGCGACGCCGCGUGGGGGAUGACGGCCUUCGGGUUGUAAACUCCUUUCGCUAGGGACGAAGCUUUUUGUGACGGUACCUAGAUAAGAAGCACCGGCUAACUACGUG
RNAcentral lists this ribosomal RNA (465 nucleotides) under uncultured bacterium. RNAcentral describes it as "partial 16S ribosomal RNA". It matches the Rfam family "Bacterial small subunit ribosomal RNA", at positions 28 to 507 of the family's 1533-position model. The record is from RNAcentral.